Molecule: transfer RNA, 42 nt
Filed under: Araucaria muelleri
Lineage: Eukaryota; Viridiplantae; Streptophyta; Pinopsida; Araucariales; Araucariaceae
Also listed under: 3 other names
Description: partial tRNA-Ser
Source: RNAcentral
GGAGAGAUGGCCGAGUGGUUGAUGGCUCCGGUCUGAAACCGA